Molecule: unclassified non-coding RNA, 1006 nt
Filed under: Exaiptasia diaphana
Lineage: Eukaryota; Metazoa; Cnidaria; Anthozoa; Actiniaria; Aiptasiidae
Description: prohibitin, transcript variant X2
Source: RNAcentral
GAUUCACGUGGUAGAAGUCAAAAUGGCUGCCACUUUCUUUAAUCGACUUGCAGGGCUUGGUUUAGGAGUUGCAGUAGCCGGUGGAGUGGUAAAUACUGCUUUAUUUAACGUCGANGGUGGCCAUCGUGCAGUUAUCUUUGACAGAUUCCAAGGAGUUAAACCAGAUGUUGUUGGUGAAGGUACACACUUUUUAAUUCCAUGGGUGCAACGACCUAUUAUUUUCGAUAUCCGAACUAGACCAAGAAAUGUACCAGUCACAACAGGAAGUAAAGAUUUACAGACUGUAAACAUCACCCUCAGGAUUCUGUUCCGACCAAAAUCUCAAGCUCUACCCAAAAUAUACAUGAAUCUUGGCGAGGAUUAUGAUGAAAGAGUUCUUCCAUCCAUUACNACUGAAGUGCUUAAAGCUGUUGUUGCUCAGUUUGAUGCCGGGGAACUUAUUACGCAAAGAGAACUGGUUUCACAAAAAGUCCAAGAAGAUCUGUUAGAGCGUGCUGCAAGUUUUGGGUUGAUGCUCGAUGACAUUUCUUUGACCCAUUUGACAUUUGGUAGAGAAUUUACAGAAGCUGUUGAACUUAAGCAAGUUGCUCAGCAAGAUGCUGAAAGGGCGAGGUUUCUUGUAGAAAGAGCUGAGCAGCUAAAGCAAGCAGCAAUCAUAACAGCAGAGGGUGAUGCACGUGGUGCUCAGAUGCUUGCAAACUCUUUUAAAGAAGCCGGCGAGGGUCUUGUGGAACUCCGAAAGAUCGAAGCAGCAGAAGAAAUUGCAGACAGGAUGUCCAAAUCAAGAAAUGUUGCUUAUCUGCCAGGAGGGCAGAAAAUGCUUUUAAAUCUUCCUGUUUCAAGAUGAUGCUAAAAUACACUUUUUUGAUCGAUUUGAUUGAACACCAAUGUCUACUGAUAUCCCUGAUUGAAGGUGAUAAUUGUGUUUCUGAGUAGUUAACAGUCAUGGAUAGCAACUAUAAUCAGUGCAAAGUAAAGAAAAAUAAAGCCGAUUUUCAUGAUUUGA